This 358-nucleotide ribosomal RNA is filed under the name uncultured Holophagae bacterium. RNAcentral describes it as "bacterial SSU rRNA". It matches the Rfam family "Bacterial small subunit ribosomal RNA", at positions 1025 to 1382 of the family's 1533-position model. Lineage: Bacteria; Pseudomonadati; Acidobacteriota; Holophagae. The record is from RNAcentral.
AGCGGAAGUCGAGGUGCUGCAUGGCUGUCGUCAGCUCGUGUCGUGAGAUGUUCGGUUAAGUCCGCUAACGAGCGCAACCCCUGUCCUUAGUUGCCAUCAGGUAAUGCUGGGAACUCUAAGGAAACUGCCCUGGUUAACGGGGAGGAAGGUGGGGACGACGUCAAGUCAUCACGGCCUUUAUGUCCAGGGCUACACACGUGCUACAAUGGCCGGUACAGACGGACGCAAAGCCGCGAGGUGGAGCAAAUCCUAAAAAGCCGGUCUCAGUUCGGAUUGCAGGCUGCAAUUCGCCUGCAUGAAGUCGGAAUCGCUAGUAAUCGCAGGUCAGCAUACUGCGGUGAAUACGUUCCCGGGUCUU